Molecule: long non-coding RNA, 1363 nt
Filed under: Nicotiana tabacum (common tobacco)
Lineage: Eukaryota; Viridiplantae; Streptophyta; Magnoliopsida; Solanales; Solanaceae
Description: long non-coding RNA (NTAB_LNC017081)
Source: RNAcentral
CAAAGUACCCAACAGAACAACACUCAUUUUUAUUCCUUUUUUCUCCCUGUUCCGGUUAAUAUUACAAUAGCAAUAUGAAUUAAGAAAAUAUUUUCUGUAGAGUUGAUUAGUUUUUGAUUUAUAGAAAAGACAGUAAAGAUGGUCACUUGGUGAUAGAAGAAGAAAUAAUGGAGAGAGUGAUCGGAAAAAUUUGGAGACGCAUCAAAGUAAAAGAAGAAGAGUGCUAAAAAGUUACUGAAAAGAGAGAGGAGGGAGCCAAGAAAGUCUUACAAGUUGGAUAAUUAAGUUUGUUCUAAGCCCUUUUGGUAUUUUACAUGCUUUGAAGAGAGUAACUUCACUUGUUGUACCACAUCAUCAUUUAAGUGAGAAUUAAAUUUAGUAUGAACAAGUAUAUAAUGGAAAAAUGACACCCGUAAAGGUUGAGAUGGAAACUCACUUUUCAGGACAAGUUUGGGGAGCAACUUAUGUAUUUUCCCUAACUUCUAUUCCCAUAAAAAAAUCUACUAAAUUAUACUGUCAAUUAUCAAUAUUCUUACUAUUCUUUAUUAUUGGAAGAACUACUCUUUCCUGCGGGAAGAAGAGAAAAGGUCCUGUCAAGUCGGUCCGCUAACGCCUUAUCUUCCUAUUUAUAAGCCACAGCUUACUUCGACGUUUUCAAUUUCCCAUAGAGGAACUGCUUCCUGCGUCUGCGGCCGUUGCAGCUAAACUAACGGAGGAAGGAGGAGGGGAGGGGGGGAGGGGGGACAUUAAAUGAAUUUUUGUUAACACAGAACUGGAAGAGGUACAGCAAUUAUUAAUUUCUGUUUUCUUAUUCUUAGUUUAAUUCUUUGUUAUCGUUAUUCCUUUUUCAUAUUAAUUAUAUUCGACAAAGUGAAGUAAGUUGGUUGUUAGAAACUCAAAUUAUUCUAUUUAUUUGUUUUAACUUCAAAUCCUAUUUUUUGAGUCAAACAAAUUGGUUUUAUUAUAAAAAAUCUAACAAUCAUUUCACUUUCUAUUUAUAUAUUUUAUCUUUAGCAAUAAAUUAUGUUUGAAACUGACCAAAUUACUCAACAGGGGAAUGGACAAGGGGGAUCUCCUCUACAAAAUUCAUCCACACAUUCUCCACAACGCUACGUGGAAAUUCACCCAUUAGAUCUGCUAGUCACAACAUCGAUCAGCAAAAUUAAGAACAAUUUGGUUUGCACGAUGAUUUAAAGCAAUUCAUCGCUCGAUAGAUUGGUGAUGCUUUACGAGCCUUGACGGGAAGUGUGCGAAAUGUAGUUCCAGUUUCACCAUCAGUUAAUACAACUAUAGAAAAUCCCAAUUUGGGGCUUGAAAACACAGGAGUGGGGAUGUCACGACUCAAUUCCCACUAUAGAUCGUG